AUUAAAUUAUCAUAAUCAAUGUUUUAAAUUUAGAAUUUAAAAAAGGAACAAAAAUCCAUUUAAUA
RNAcentral lists this transfer RNA (65 nucleotides) under Aleyrodidae sp. JXCHN01. RNAcentral describes it as "tRNA-Leu". The record is from RNAcentral. Lineage: Eukaryota; Metazoa; Arthropoda; Insecta; Hemiptera; Aleyrodidae.